GCUGUAACCAAUUAAGCUGUUUCUGUGUGUCACUUCCCUUGUGGAAUGGAGCUCACUGAACCUCUCUGAUGGCUGCCCGAUCGUUCUGAUGGGCCAGUUUGAAGCUUUAUAUAUCAUUUACCAAACUUAGGGUGGUGAGUGGGUGCUGAUGGCAGCCUGGUUUGAAAAUCUCCACUGGAGAGAAGACACAGCAGGAUUCAGAUGCAAAUGACCAGAGCACUCCAAGUUGGAAAGAACUGCUGAGCGGGUCUGUAGAGCCCAUCGCUCUCUCCUGUCUAUUCAUCAGCUAGGCUGAAGCUCCUGACAGACUCACACCAGUAUCUUGCUGCUCCAGAAAGGUCGAAGAUGGCAGUUUUCCCAAACUCCGGCUUGCCCAGAUGUCUGCUCACCCUCAUUCUUCUCCAGCUGCCCAAGCUGGUUUCAGAUAGGUCUCUCUCUCUGGCCUGCAGAGUUAAAAC
This 458-nucleotide long non-coding RNA is filed under the name Homo sapiens (human). RNAcentral describes it as "HSALNT0102916". Lineage: Eukaryota; Metazoa; Chordata; Mammalia; Primates; Hominidae. The record is from RNAcentral.